Molecule: long non-coding RNA, 9853 nt
Organism: Chroicocephalus ridibundus (black-headed gull)
Lineage: Eukaryota; Metazoa; Chordata; Aves; Charadriiformes; Laridae
Exons: 9
Source: RefSeq, a predicted model, not a curated record
AUCCCACAAUCCUGCUGCUGUGUGGCGGCCAGCCUGGCGGGCACGCUGGAGGAAGAGGUGUUAUCCCUGUCACUUGUUUUGUCACCGAUGACAUGGAUGCAUUAAAGUGCUACAGGCAUUCCGAAAUACUUAGAUUUCAGUGCAUCUUCCUUUCUACUUCUUUUUACUUUAAUUAAACUCCUGGAUGCCAGCACAUAUACCACAGACAGACGCUUGUGAGCGAGACAGAGACAAAAUGAGAAACACCAAAAAUGCUUCAGAAUAAAAACUUUUUGAAAAAAAAAUUUGAAGAAACUAUUUACCCCUUUUUGAAAAAAAAAUCCUUUGUGGAGAUCGGUCCUUGGUGGAGUGACAGCAGCACGGUACGGAAUCCAUAAACAUGGAGAUGAGAAAGACUUACCUGUUUUAGUAGCAGACUUUAAACUGAUUAUGGAAAUUAUAUCAAUGUGCUUUUCUCUAUAAUUUUAUAAGCACUUAGGGAAAUCUGUGAAGAUUUUCUAGACCAUGAGAAUCCAAAAGAGGCAAAACCAGUAAAAAUGCGGGGCACACAGCAGUCCAGUAUCCAACACACAUUAAGGGUAAUCUUACCAAAACUUCUUAUUACAAACAUGUUGUCAUUUUGAUUAGAAUAAUUAUGAAAUGCUGAUAUAAUUGGUUAUUGAUCAAAAAAAUUGUUUAAAUACCUACCUUGUUCCAGUAACUAAAGGAGCUAAACAAGUUGAUGUAUAUGCUCACCUAAACUUUGUCAAAUUUCAGACAUCCCCUAUAAAAUCAAAAGCUAUGUGUAAGUGCUGUACACAGAUUUAGUUACAUUGUUUUGGCUUUUUACUCUUAGCUGCCUUCCAGAGUGAUGCUCUGGAACAUUACUCAGGUCUCAAAAUGGAAAUACAAUUUUCAGGACUGUUAUUUAAUCUCUUUAUAGUUUCAACAGUUUGCUUCCCAUGUGCUUACUUCCUUGGUUUGGCAUCUGUUCAGUUCCUAAUUCAAGCAUGGAAAUAAAUGUGCCAAGAGUAAAUUGAAAACAUUUGAUAACACUUAGACAUCUUUAUGCUGGUUUUUGUCUGCAAAUUAGCUAAAUGUAAUUUUUGCUGCUAUUCAUUUUUUGUCUUACUAUUCAUUAAAAAUAAAUUUAUUCACUUUUGGAAAUGGAGGUGAAAACUAGCCUUAUGUGCACAGAAUGUGCUUACAAAGGUAGUUUCACCAUGUAAAAGUGUGAUUUAUUUUAGAAAAGCCUCAUUUUCCAUAGUCAGCGUUUUCAGAACAACCAGUGGCAUAUCCAAAUUCUUCUGUAAUUACCACUCAAACAAUUGAACUAAAUGAGACAGUUGGGACUAACUUGGUUCGUAACCGGGAGCUGCUGACAGUGUGACAAGCCUUGCUGCAGGGAGGGGAAGAAUUUCCACCCUGCCUUGUCCUUCGCAAGUGUCCCCACACCUAAGCAACGUGAAUGUGCAGCCCAGCAUCUUCAAUUAAACAGAAGCAGCUGAUGUCUCUUUUCUGAUCGCUGCGGGGUCAGUGGAUUAGACAUUUGGAAGAGGGGCAGAGCAGACAGUUAUGUGGACAACUCAGAGUGAACCAGCUGAACAGACAGGAGAGGACAGCUGCUGUCGAGGACAGGUAGCACCAAGGGACACAGUGGCAAUAUGGCAAGUUUCACAAUUGUAAUCUGAAGGCCACAGAGCGAGCGACCGGAGUACAAAUAUCCUGAGAGAUCUGUCUUUGUCCAAGCUAAAUCCCAGAUUCUUUUCACCCGUGCAGUCCAGGGGAAGAAUCCCUUGGUUGAGAAGAAAAUUGGCAGCUAUCAACACUGUUGAGGGAAUAUUUUGAGCUGCGCAUAAUGUUUGUUGGAAGACCAAAUAAGAGAGUUUCAAAUCUGUUGGAUCAGAACGAAUAAAACCCAUUGAUGUUAAGAGCAAGGACAAAGAAACUAGAGGCAAACCCACUGUCCUGUCUGCUAGUGCUGGGACGUGGUAUCCGUGCUCAGGGUUCACAUCGAUGGCCAAAGAGGAUGGAAUCACAGACCUGGAGCUCCGUCUCAACGGCAGGGACGCAGAGGACCCACACUGGGAGUUGUUCUGCCUCUACAAGGGGCUGCAGAGGCAGCAGCUCUACAGAGCAGUGGCAUCGAUGAUCCUGGGAAACAAUUAAUUCAAGGCAAACUGCUGCAUGUAAAAACACAUUUGCCAUAAUGUGCUUGGAUUUUAUCAGAUGUAUCAACAUAACUAGAAGAUAAUUGUACCUGAAGUUUCUAGACCAUGGCAUUAGGAAAGCUCACAGAGACUGCAGGCUGGGUUUAAGCAGAAGACACUGUACGUACUUCUUAUUAGAACAUAUUUACAUUAAAUAAGGUCACCCAAAAAUGUUUAAAUAUACGUACUGGAUGGCAGUUAAGGGCUUUGGGAUCCAUUGUGAUGGAAUGAAUAACAUGAGAGCAAAUCUAACGCAUCACUAUCAGCCUUGGAUCACUGUCUUGAACGCGGGAGAUAACCUGUCUCCUACCAGCCCGUUUACAUAAAAUCGCAGUUGUACCGUAUGUUGUUACUUGCGCAGUCUUGCCCUGGCUUGGAGGCAGGAAUGCUGCGUGUACGUGAUGGGUAGCCCUGAAUUGCAGUAAAUGUGUAGAAAGGAUUUGUCAUCUCACCACCGCAGACUCUGGCCCAGAGGCUGCUCUGAGUGAGUUCCCUCGUGCUGGUCGCUUCCGACGCUCAGAGGAGGAGAAACAGAUGGAAAAAUCCUUCACACAAACUGGAUCUUAAUCGCUGAAAGAAGAGACAUUGAAAAAUGCUGGCUUGAUACAUCCACAUAAAUACCAUUGAGAUAAAGAUUGAUUCCAGUCAGCCUUCUGAAUCGUGUCACUGAAGUGUGCAGCAAGUUUGCAAGAAGUUCCAUACCAUGGUGUUCUCUCCAGCAUCACUAAACUUGUGUUCAUUUGCUGUCUGAGGACACAGAAGGGGAAGGAGCUGCUCAGCAACACUUUUCGGAACUGUUAGUUGUCCCACUAGUCAUAAAGUAUACUAAAGGUUGAUUUACAUUAACAAAAUAAUUACUUGUAUUGCUUCCUCCUUAUCAGUGGAUUACAUCUCAGCAGACGUUUAGAUAAAUAUGUAUUCACUAAAUGGCAACGGUAUCAUAAAGUGCCACUGUUCAGGUGUCACUUUGAGGUCUCAAAAUCUACAUGUGACAACAGAUUGCUUUAUAAACUCGUCAUUUUUAAUUUCUCCACCUUUCCCACCUACCCCAGGACAUUUCAGGGAUCAGUUUAUCCUUAUUAGGUCCCACCACCAAUUUUUCUUUCACCCUGGGGAGUAGUCUUUCCCGGGGCCUGGCCAGGCUGGUACACAAUUGCACGUUUUGGAGAAACUCAAACCCCACCAAUUUGUUUAAUAGAAACGUCUUCCUUGUGCUGCAUUCCUGUUACCCAGCCACACCUCUUCUGCCCUUCUGAGGAUCUUACAAAACUGGGAACCUGCUUAACAAGUUCACUUCUUAUUACCCACAGGCAAAGACAGUUUCCUCCUUGUACUCGCUGCAGUUCAGCUCUUCCCACCUCUCUCCUCCUGAGCUACGUCCUCAUUCCUCCCGACUCCACCACACUCGUUUCUUACCACACACCAAGCGGAGACCAUGGUAUUUUAUGAACAUGUUUUGGAUCAGGUUGUCUAUCCAGGCAAUUUGCUUCACCUUUGAAGUGCUCACAAAUUACUCCCCACAGAUCUCGUGACCUGAGUUGUGAGUCAUUUUUUUAAUUGACUUUUAUAAAAACCGACGUACAAGUGCUUUUUCAAAAAAGCCUGAUGGUACGGACUGUUCCCAUCAGUGGGAAAUGUAACCCUAGAUUCCUUCCUGGAGUUCACGGUGAUAGCUGUUUUAGUUUUUAAUUGUGUCUAAUGAAAUACAUAUCAGAAGCUACAUUACAACUUUUUAACAAAAUUGCCAGCCUUUCACUGGUGCUUUCAGCUGUGUUGAGAUAUGAGUAGCGUGUGGGAUUAGACUGUACCAGACCCAACCUUCUUGCACUGGCAGCAAGGCAAUUGUGUUCAGUGCAUGCCAGAGUGAAAUCCUAAAGACACACAUGUACUGGGCAGCGCUGAUAAAAUGUCUAAGUGAUAUUACAGCUUAUGCAGUGAAUGGUGAAACUAUUUUGGAGAUGCCACGAGUAAAAGGAGAGCGGCUACAGCCAAUGGACGACAGAGAGCUUGCGUGUUUCAAGGCCAGAAUGCAGCAGGUGGAGUUUAUACUGGGGUGGAACCACACACCAGACAUCUUCUGGUGAAGGGUGAGCAGAGUUGGUAAGCAGAAAAGCUCAGCAUGUUCUUUGAUAUUCCAUGUUUUAACAAUGGGAUCCUCUUUGAACCAAGUUCAGCUCUCCGUUUGACUUGACAGCCAAGCUCUCCAUGGGAUUUUGGCCCUGUCUACCCAAAAGAUCAAUUUUCUUACGUGCCUGUGAUCUUUUCCACUAAGGACUGCAACUCUGUGCACCAACGUGGGAACUGUAGAUGGGGGAGACAACUUCCACUUCACUAGCUGAGAUCGGUGGAGCUCAGCCGCGCUGCCAAAGACAGAGCUAACCACCCUCCUUACGAGCGCCCCAGAACUGCAAACAUUUACCCGCAUGCUUAACUCAGCGGAUGAAUGGCCUCAUUGAGCUUGCUAUGGCUGUUUACGUGCAGAAGUUACUCACGUAACUGUUUGCAGGACGUAAGCCAAAAUGCAAAACUUAGUUUCUUGCCUUGGCUUCACCACAGUAAGCUCUUCAUACGGACACGCUGUAUUUUCAGAGGCCAGAGCCAAGUGGUUAAAGAAAUCAACUGUUGCAGCAACAACGACUUAGAUCAAAACAGAAGCUGUUUUCAGCAUGCCAGGGUUAUGCCGCAGGCAAGAACUUUACAGUGAGGAGCUGCCAGUGCUGCAGGCAAAUCCCAGUUGAGUCGGAAGGCGGCAGCUGGGACUGGCCAUUGCCCAAAGCUGUGCUGACCUGGCUGGCUACCAGGGCUCCGCCUGCGCCCGGCGCACGCUCACGGACGUUCAUGUCACCCAGCUGUAUUGGAGCAUUCACUACCAAGUCACACCUAUGGCAGCAGCGGCAACAGUAAAUGCCCAAGUAACAGAGUUCAAGCAUGGCCUCUUUGGCACCGCUUUUUGUGCUUGGAGGUAAAAAGAUGCUCAGAAAGCAAGAAAAGGCUCGGAAUCAAAAGAAGCAGCAUUCCCUGGAACCUGCAGCUGGGCGAGGCUACUUCUGCAGUCUGGCACAAGGGACACGGCAGAGCAGUCUAUUAAAAUGCAGCUGCAGUUGCAUCGGGCGCACUAGUGAUUUCACGGUACGUACAGACACGUACUGAUCUCACAUUCAAUGUCAAGCACAGCUUUUAAGGCCUUCAGACUGAAUUACAGCUCUGGAACCCUGACAGUGCUCACCACCUGACUUUGAGAACAGCCAUGCUCUUGUUUCCAGCCUGUACCUGCUGAGAACCCUAUAAUGAAGGGAAUUUACUUCUAUACAGCUUAUUAGAAAGUUUCAGCUUAUGCCAUCAGCCCUCAGACAGUAAAUCUCGUCUUUAAGCCUGUAUACAAUCAAUGUCGUGUCAUGUUUAUCCACUCCGAUUCACAUUAGCCUUCAUUUCAGUCCGAGCCAACUUGGCUAAUGCUGCUCCCCAGCUGUGUAUGCAUCAAGAUAACAGCUGCAAUGAAUAUGUGUACAAAAUUGCACAUUGUUUGCAUGUUUUUGACAGCAAAGAUUAUGAUAAACCUUUGAGAAAGAGUGAGCCGAAGCUUCCAUAGACGUAUCUUAACGGUGACAUCGCAGACGAGGCUCAGAGGUGUUUUGUUGUUCAGCCGAGAGUGGGGGUGCAGCGGCUUUGAGUGAGAGGAUUUUUCUUUAUCGAGGUUUGGGAGACUUUCGCUGCAGGACUGUACAGGUGCCGCACAGUUCAUCCUUAAAGAAAGGGUAGUAAACUGUCUUAACCCUUCACACGCACAGCUUGAAGGGAUAACAAAGAAAAUGAGCUUUGCACAGAAACAAGGACAGGUGAGGGGUCCUCCUGGAGAAGCUGAAAUGCCUCUGAUUCAGCACCGCAAAUUCUCCUCUACUGCCCUCCCGUAACUAAAGGGAAUCUGUAAGUGCACUGUUUUCUCCCACUGAUUUACCUCUUUCACAUCUCACCUUUCUGCCAUCAAAUCCAUGCAUUUUUUGGUCUUUUCUCCUCGGGUUGUUCUGCUUGCCCUCAAUUCCAUCCUAACCUUAAUCUCCAUCUUGCUGUUGUCUUUUGCUCUUGCCCUUAAAGCUCUUCUUUUCCCUCCCAGGGCACUCUCUGGUGUCUGUGUGGAAGCGUGUGUGGGGCUGAAUGUGGUGCUUGAGCUUUUUGCCUCCCAAAACAUUUAGCAUUUGUUUUAAUUUUCACCUCCAUGCUCACUUCUUGUGUUCAUCUCCUGAAAUUUCUUUCUGGGCUAUGUCCAAUCUGGCUUCUCUCUCAAACCAUUUUCCAAAGGCUUUUUGAUUUCAGACACAUCAAAUGCAGGAUCCUUUUCCUCCUCACACUGUCCUGAAAACUCUUCUUCCUGUGGCUCAUGCUUUUCCUGACUUCUUCCCCAUCUUUUUAACCCUUUCAGUGUCCUCCAGGAGGCUCCUCCCCCAAGUCUUUUAGCAGCGUGGGCACUCUGAGUAGCCCCCAACAAACCCUAAUAUCACAUAGGUGUGCUCUUAUAAUCCAGAUUUGCCUCCUGCACAAAAAAAGCUGUUACACAAUUUCUUCUCUCGUUUUGUAGACACCUAGCCAUCAGCUGAAGCUCCUUUUGGCUUAAUCAGACCUUUGCUCCUCUGUUUUCCUUCUUCUACCCACUUUUCUCAUCAUUGUGCCUGCUGCCACCAUCCCAACUGUCACUGAUGCCUAUUCCCUUCCACCUGGACUUCUCUCCAGGUGCUCUCAUUUAGGCUCAUCCGAACAUGUAAGAACUUAUCUUCCCUGAGUUCUUGUCCAUCUCACAUCUCCUUUCACCUUCACAAAUAAAAUGUCUUGCUUAUACCCGUGAGAGAACAGCUGCCCUCCAGACUUUUGCUAAGUGCAUCAUUUAUACUCCUGUUACCUCUCGCUCUGCUGUUUUCUGUCACACUUAACACAACUACUUGUUUUCAGCUUUGGUGUCCUCCACACCCUUACUUUUGCCUUUGUGCAGUCCCAAGAGAUCAGCUUUUGCUUCACUGACCCAUCACGCCAGCCUUCACGGUCCUCUCUGAGUUUUAAGGCCAACUUUAUUAUUUCUUCCAUGUUGUCCCUCAAGUCUGCAAGUUUCCUUCAAACCUUCCAAAGCGACUUCACUCGUAAGAAUUAUCCUCGACUGAGAUAAUAACACAAUCUUGUUUAGAUUGCAUGUGUCAUUUUUGUUUCCUAUGACAGAGUGCAAUUGCAGGUUCCUUGCACUGUCCGUGACUCGGGGGGGGGACCCACAGCCUUUUUGCUGUGUGCAGCCUCUGGGACAACGGCUCCUGCUCAGAAACCCGACAGAGGCUUCAGUGCGGUCCCAUAACCCAGGGUGUAACCACCACCACCUGCAAGCACCCCGCACACUUUCUAGGCCCUACAUGAAGAGGGCAAGCAUAAAGAACAGGAACACAACUGAGGGACAAGUAUGUUUAGAGAGAAGAUAUGCCGAGGAGUGAUUAGCACAAAAGCAACCUCAGCCUGAGGAAAUUAAUAACUGACUUAUGCAGGGGUUAGGGACAGUUGAAGCAAGCCCGGCCACCAACACAGAGGUCAAAAACCUGUUUUCCUUGAAGCAAUGGGCUCCGAAGCCCUUUGCUGGCCAAGGCAAGGUGCGUUACCCAGGAGGAAGAGUCACGCUCUCAGUUCAGAAGUGCCAAGUUUGGACUGAAGGUGUAUUCCUCACCCAUAUGCCAAACAAUUAUCUUGACAUUGCUAAAGUAAAUUUAAAUACAGUCCUGUCCCCUAGUGCAGGUCUGCUGGUUUCUAAACACCCAGCCCUCCUCCGGCGUACUGCCCUGCUCGCGCUUGACCUUCCUGCCCAGCGCUGCAUUACUGAUUUACUAGUAAGGGCAGAGAAACUGCUCUUUAGUGCAGCUAAAUAAGAAAAACUGUUUUUCCAGACAUACUUGAUGUCGUAUGAGAGAUGAGAAACAGCAGGCCGUCACCUAACUUAAGUUAAAUCAGCCACAUUUGAUGCCAGCCAAGAGAGACGCGUGUUCAAAACAAAAACAGUUGCUUUAUGAAACCACGCAUUGAUCGGCUGCCUUCCUGUCUAGGAUUCAUAGGCAACUUCUUGGCCUACAAGCACCUGCAAGGCUGAAGAAAUUAACUUUUAGGUAACCUGAUGCCCUGGAAAAACAUGAAGAUAAGAAAAAAAAAAAAGUCACUUGACAGUCAUUUUAGGUAUUUACACUUUGAACUUAAACUUUGUUUAGAAGUAGGCGCUCUGCUGUCUCCAGUUUAGAGCUGCAUAGGUGAGAAAUAACGGCUGGGGGGGAAAUUAAUAAAAUAAAUGCUGUUAGGAUACAGAGUUUCAAUCUUCUAUUUAGCUUGUUUCAGAGUAUUUCUCCAUUGACUUGGUGUUCUAUUAUGCACAAAAUAUGCUAUAUUCUCACCACAACCUAAACGUCAAACCCGCAAAAGUCCGAGUCGUGCUCCCCUACCAAUUACAGCCUGGUGAGCAGCCUGUGAGGGCAGCGGAAGGAUCCCACGGGGGGCUGUUUGCUUUGGGAAAAGUCUGCAAAGUAAGAUUUGAGCAGAGGAAAGCACUUGCACUUUUGAAUUUGCUCUGUUCGUACCCAUCGUAUCAGGUAUUACAUUUGCCUAAACAAGAGUUACUAACCUGGCCAGCAGGACACGGUACCAAGAAGGUUUAGUCAUAAGCAACCAGGUGGCUAAAAGGAAGGGAACAUGCAAAUGGAGAUGCAAGAUUUAGUCAAAAUAAGACUUGAGACAGCAAAACACCAAACAGCUAACAUCAAUGCAACUACUAGAAGAGAGGUACCAUUCUCAUGGUAGUUGCAGAAAACAAGUGAAUCAGAAGAAAAUGCUGAGUCAGGAGAGAAGGAGGAGGAACAGAGCUGGGAGCGCCCAUGGAAGCAGCAGCAGCACCGAGGCAGGGGCAGCUGCUGGCAGAAUCGCAUCCACAGCGGCACAAACUGAAUCUCUGCCCGUGUUACCAGCCUCUGGGACAAGGUGACAGGGCUGCUUUGCUUCACAAGCUCCUCUUAACCGGGUAAAUCAGGUUAAAACUGAUCUUUAGCACCCCUUGUGUUCCCUCCUGAGCACAGCUCCUGGGCAGCGGUCCUGGCUUUCUGUCCUUCCCACUCAGAAGCGUCAUCCAGCUGCUCGGAGCAGAUCUCAGAGAUACUCUUCUUCCUUUUCCACCCCGACCACUGCUCCCGCUGCCUUUGCGACACGUAAGCCCUCUCACUCCAGUGCUCUGAAGGCCAGGAAGUCAGUUACUAAACUCAAAUUACCUUUUCAAAGUUCUUUAUUCUUUUAUUCCCCCGCUGUAAGUACAAAUCAGCACAGACAAAAAUAACAAAAAAGCCUCUAUGCCUGGGUCAUUAUACCUUCGGAUAUUCUUGCCAGUGUUUGCAGGCUUUUCUUCGCCCAGCUGAGCUGCCAAAUCAGACGGGGAGAAACACGCUCUUGUUUGCAGCACGCUCGGUGCGGUCCAAGGCUUAUCACCUGCUUAACGCUGACAAUCCAUUCCCUCCUUCCAGCCAGGAAGGCUGAGGCUUUGCUCUCAUUUCUUCCGUGAUCGAGCAGUGAAAAGAAUAAUUUUCAGACUGCGAAUAAUAAUAAUAAAGAAAAAGCAACUUUUAUAUUAUUUUUUCCCCUGGAUGCCAUUCAUGAUCUUCACCUUUUAC